AGUCGAACGGUGCACGGACUUUGGUCUGGUGGCGAGUGGCGAACGGGCGAGUAAUGUAUCGGAACGUGCCUAGUAGCGGGGGAUAACUACGAAAGCGAAGGCAUUACCGCAUACGCCCUUCUCGGGGAAAGCGGGGACCUUCGGGCCUCGCACUAUUAGAGCGGCCGAUAUCGGAUUAGCUAGUUGGUGGGGUAACGGCUCACCAAGGCGACGAUCCGUAGCUGGUUUGAGAGGACGACCAGCCACACUGGGACUGAGACACGGCCCAGACUCCUACGGGAGGCAGCAGUGGGGAAUUUUGGACAAUGGGGGAAACUCCUGAUCCGUUAUCCCGCGUGUGCGAUGAAGGCCUUCGGGUUGUAAAGCACUUUUGGCAGGAAAAGAAACGGCACGGGAUAAUACCCUCGUGCAACUGACGGUACCUGCAGAAUAAGCACCGGCUAACUACGUGCCAGCAGCCGCGGUAAUACGUAGGGUGCAAGCGUUAAUCGGAAUUACUGGGCGUAAAGGCAGCAGGCGGUUCGGAAAGAAAGAUGUGAAAUCCCAGAGCUUAACUUGGAACUGCAUUUUUAACUAAUGAGCCAGGGAGUGUGUCAGAGGGAGGUGGAAUUCCGCGUGUAGCAGUGAAAUGCGUAGAUAUGCGGAG
Molecule: unclassified non-coding RNA, 646 nt
Filed under: uncultured Bordetella sp.
Lineage: Bacteria; Pseudomonadati; Pseudomonadota; Betaproteobacteria; Burkholderiales; Alcaligenaceae
Description: partial 16S-23S ribosomal RNA intergenic spacer
Rfam family: Bacterial small subunit ribosomal RNA
Source: RNAcentral